Long non-coding RNA from Myotis brandtii (Brandt's bat), 3035 nucleotides. RefSeq lists it as uncharacterized. The record is from RefSeq and is a predicted model, not a curated record. The transcript is spliced from 2 exons. Lineage: Eukaryota; Metazoa; Chordata; Mammalia; Chiroptera; Vespertilionidae.
UGGAGAAAAACAGGGUGAGACCAUAUCGAAAGGCAAGAAAGGAGACCUCUGUAAUCAGGGGACAGGAGUGGGUACCAGUCCUACCAACAUGAGCCAGUGGUUCCAGAACUGAAAAGGCCUGUGUGACGUCACAGACACAGAAACAGGACACACCGCUUUCCAGGAAGAGGGGCAGGGGCAGGGGGAGGCCGAAAUCCUGGUCGCCAUGCUUCUUUCUCACCUAGAAAUCUCUAAGCCAUAUGAACACCCAAUGGGGUAUAGCUCAGAACGCGCUCUUCUAACGACUUAAGUCACAGCUAGCCACAGCCAGGAGCCUCAAGAGCAGGACCCGAGCCACCGUGCCAGCACCCCACGCUCACUCCCAGGACAGCCUACAACUCCCUAUUCAAUUCACUUACACCCUUCGUUAGUCUGACUGUAAUUCUGACUUGACGCUUUGAAUUGCUCUGGAAUACUCUGAAAUGUCCAAGUAUUAGAGGCCAGUAAAUAAAGAGCAACGUGCACAGACUUCCUGGGGAGGGCAGGACAGGCGUGCUCGUCACCGCCUACCCACAGGGAGCUGCAGCCACCUGACCGGAGUCCCGUCAGCACUGCGUGCUGGGCAGGAGUCUUAUUUCCUGGGCAGGUUUGUUUUUUAAACUGAGGUAACUGGACAUAUAACUGGGCAGAUCUUGAUAACAGAUCACUGUAGGAUUUUUCUAGGCAAUCAAAAUUAAUAAAAAUAUUAUCUUGAGAUUACUGUACUAAUUGCAUCUCUUGCACAUACAAAAUCCCAAAUCCGAAUGGUAAAGUCGAGUACAACACUGGGCUUUGUAAUAAGAGGCUAUUAACAAAAUCCCCUUCCUUCCUGGCAUUUCCAACGAGGCAGGCAGCCCCCAGUUGUCUAUAUGAAGGCCUGCUCUCAAUUCCUCUUCUGAAUGGGACUUAGCCUCACAUGAACCCACGGUUCAGUAUCAAUAAAAAUGUACAAUUUUCUCUCCCAGCUUUCUUUUCAAAACUGCUUUGUGAAUCUAUUCUGCUCACGUGGGCUGAUUUGAGGUUGGUUGCCAAAAAGCCGUCACAAUGUCAACACCUGUCACACCAGUUCCCUCUUGUGCUUUAAAGGUUACGGAGCACGUGUGAGCAUCACCACAUCGAUUCUUUCAACAGUCACACGAGGUAAUCUUGUAUCCUCUCAAUAGUGAGGAAGCCAAGGGCCUUUCUCAGAGUCUGGCAGCUGAAUAUGAUGGAACCUGGCUGUACCGCGGGUCUUCUCGGCCGGCGAAGAACCUCCCUGUCCUCACGAGCAGUGAGAACAGGUCACCUUCGCGCACGGCCAACACCGACUGAUGCCGUGGGUUUGAUGGGGCUACGUUCACACUGGGUGCUCGUCAGCAUUGACAAUGGGGCACUGGCCCCUGUGACUCAAACGCCUGCCCAGGGAGAGUGAGAUGCCGCCUCUGGAGCAGGGGAGGCUUGGGGGUGUGAGAGGAUUGACGCUGCCCUGGCUUCUAACCGUAACAUCUCAGUGUCUGCGACAUCGUGUGGCACAGCUGAGGACCAACAUCACAAAAACACACUUGUCUGGAAGUAGCCCUCCCCUUUUGAGACUGUUUUUCAGAAGUAACAGUGGUUUUUAGGAUGGGCUAUUGCAAAAGUUUUCUAGGACAGCCUGUCAUUUGAUAUUUUAGCCACAAGGUGGCACUACGGCACCUCUGUUUGCUUGCCUGCCCCAUUCUACACACACACACACACACACACACACACACACACACAAAAAGCGCGCGCGCGCGUGCACAGGCAAUGUCGAUAGGGACCAUUCAAGUCCCAUCCCAGAGGUGAGCCAGGUACCCGUGUCCAUGUUCCCACUAGGACAGGCUCCGCUUGCUGGCAUCUUGUGCAGAGCACUUAGUUAAUGGCCCAUGGCACAGCCACCCAGAGCUGGCUGACUCCAGAUAAGAGCUGGAUAUAGGCCAUAAAUAUAUGUUAACAACCUCAUUCAUCCGCAGGAAAAUGCAAAUUGAAAAACCUCCAGAGCAGUUACCAUUGAGAUGACGCAGCGAUACCGCGGGUGCAGCCACGGGAACGUCCUCAGGACAGGAGUGAUGCGAACGCUUCGGAAAACCACUAAAGCUGGAGAGACCCUCAUACCUGUGAGCCCACAGUCCCACUCCGAUGUACAGACCCGGGAGGGAGGCCCACACGUUCACCAAAAAGCAGCACAGGAGUGUCCAUCACACAACCACAGCAGCCCCCAACAGGCGGCCACCCAACGCCCAUCAGCAACGAGAAGAAUAAACACAGCUGGGCGCUCGCACACAACGGAGCACUUCCAGCAACGAGAAGAAAUGGCGUCAGCGCCUCUGACAAUACAGUUCUCAUAAGAACACUCUAAUUUUCUGACUGAUACAAAUGAAAAUCAACCGGAAGCAGGCUCCUUGACUGCCAGGAUGUCCUUCAACAGCCACAACAGCCUGACUGUCCAACAACAGCCAAAGGAAGAAGCAACGGUCAGGAAGCAUCUAGCUGUGGGUUAGUACCAGGUGCACAACGCAGUGCCCCACAUCUCCAUCUCCCAUUCAACUGCCCUGAGAAAAGUCUGGGAAUGAGGGACACAGAGAGACUCGGGAUAAAAGCAAGGCACGUGCACACAUCAACAUGCACUCCAACUUGCUAAUUUAAAAAAGUUAUGUUCAUCUAUAUUUACAAAGACAUACAUUUUAUUUAAGAUAAAAGCCAAAAUUACUGAUUUAAAGGUGUUAUUCUGAAACUGGACUUUAUGGUAUCUCAGAGGCAGAGUAGGAUAACAUUUCAUUUUAAAUUGUGGUUCUUGGGUGAUGAAGAAGAAUAUCACAUUAGAGAAAGAAUAAGCAAGGAAGUUAGAAAUACUGCUUAUAGGUUUUUAAAUGUUUUAAAUGAUGUUAUAUGUGAAAAAUAUAAAUUCUGUAUUAGCUUCUGUGCUUUUUUGUAAUAACAAAAUAAGAUAGUACAUUGUAGAAAUUUUGGAAAAUACAGAAAAAGACAAAGAGGACAAUAAAUAGUGACCUAUAAACCAA